GGAUGUAAGGGCAAUUUGGCUAAGACAUCUGUCUCCCCAUGAAUCACCAGAGUUGAGAGUUGAUUUGGCUGAUCUAGCUGGCUAGGCAGGUGUUCCCUUCCACCCUCACUGCUCCAUGUGCAUCCCUCCUGAAGCUGUGCACUCAGUCAAAGAGGAUGACUUUCCCCGAUAAAGAUGUACUGUUCCUCGGUCAAGAGUACACAGUAGCUGCACUCCCAUGCUAGAAUCAACAAACAAGAGUUCAAGGUCCAUUUGUAGGAGAACAUAUAUUAGUCAAGCUUCCAAGACUGCAGAUAUAUGCAAGUGAGGAACUACACAGGGCAGUCUGCCAUUGUUU
This 337-nucleotide small nuclear RNA is filed under the name Mesitornis unicolor (brown roatelo). RNAcentral describes it as "7SK RNA". It matches the Rfam family "7SK RNA". From Rfam's summary of the family: 7SK was discovered as an abundant small nuclear RNA in the mid-70s but a possible function has only recently been suggested. Lineage: Eukaryota; Metazoa; Chordata; Aves; Mesitornithiformes; Mesitornithidae. The record is from Rfam by way of RNAcentral.